CUCCCCCACCUCCAACCUACCCCCCACCCCAUCCACCCACCACUCCCCAGGCAGGGUAGGGCCCCCAACCAGGGCUCCACCAAGUCCACCAAAUCUUCCUGUGCUGGGCCUAGGCCCCUCCCCAUGUGUCCAGAGACAGAGCGCAUCCCUUCAAAUGGGAUGGGCUCUCAAAUUCCCCCACACACACCAGGGCAAAACGCCAGUCCACCUCCAGAGGCUCCCAGGAGUGCAGGGGCCUCCCCAUUUGCAUCCAUGAUCAGGGGGCUGGAUCAGUCCCGUACUGGCCUCCCAAAGAGUUUCUGGGGUCGAUAUGCUUUCCCUUUUUCAGGCCAACUGUUUCUGUGGGUUUCUACAACCUGGUACAGACCCCUUCAUUCUUCAUUCCUCCCUCUCUUCAACUAGGUUCCAGAUUUCAGCUCAGUGUAUUUCUGUGGAUGUCUGAUUUUUCUAUUGCUGGCUGCCACUCAUAGAAGCAGGAAGAGUUGUGGCGCAGUGGAAAGGCAUCCUUACAUAGCUGCUGCCCGGACUUCUGCAGCUGCAGGUUUUCAUCAGGGAUUCAAACACUACCUUCUGCCAUGACUGAGAAUACAGCACGCAGUUACAGACAGUCAAAUUUGUAUUAGGAGUCGGCUCUCCCUAGCAGCAGAUGAAGGAAUAGAACUGUUCCUGUAGGAUGACUAAUACCAUAUUGAUACAUAAGAAUGGACAUACUUUCUUCCCAUUUGUGUGAGUAACUUGGAGAUCUGAAGGCUGCCUAGCCAUUCCUUCAUACCAGCUGCUAUUUCUGAGGGGAGCCAUACAGCCCUGAUCCAUUAUAAGAUAACAUAAAGUUAGAUAAAUAUGAAACAGAGUUACUGGAAAGAAAGCAUGGAUCAGCAAAGGUAGUGAUGGAAAAGGGAGAGAAGGGACAAUCAAAUUGAAGCAGGAAGAAACUAAAUAUAGAGAUCUAUAACAUACAAGACUGAAAAUUACUCACGAAGGAAUGGAAUUUCUUCAGAUACCAGGAACCUUCAUGUUGUGCAGUCUUCCUUUGCAUCUCACUGAUUGUCAUGUUUUUAGUGUAAACACUAAAAGUUAUAGGGAAAACAGAGCAUUGCUGUACUAAUAUUCUAUCCCCUAUCAUUUUCAAUUGAAAACCUAAAUAAUCUUUAUUUAUCACAAUCCUUGUGGCAAACUGGCUCAUCCUUCCCUUUGACACACACUUCGUGCAUUCUUGUGUCACAUAACAAAUACAGUUUUUAAGCACCUACUAUACACUGCACAUUUUGUAGUGUAAUAUUUCAAUUUUGUGAACUAGAUUUGUAAAGGAAAGCAAUGUCAAUAAGAAAUAUACUAGGAAAAUAAUAUUUUGGUUUACAUUUUCAGUGAAAAAGACAAAAUGAAA
Molecule: long non-coding RNA, 1384 nt
Filed under: Cricetulus griseus (Chinese hamster)
Lineage: Eukaryota; Metazoa; Chordata; Mammalia; Rodentia; Cricetidae
Description: lncRNA (ENSCGRG00015039482.1)
Source: RNAcentral